This 4107-nucleotide ribosomal RNA is filed under the name Triticum aestivum (bread wheat). RNAcentral's name for it is "partial small subunit ribosomal RNA". Lineage: Eukaryota; Viridiplantae; Streptophyta; Magnoliopsida; Poales; Poaceae. The record is from RNAcentral.
AUGGACGACCUCACCCCAUCGCCGGUGAGCGAGGUGCCGUUCCGCAUCAGCUUCUCCGGCCACGGCGGCCACCUCCGCCUCGACCCUACCCCCCACACGCCCAACCCCGUGCCCGACUUCGUCCUGCCGCCGGCCUACCCGCCCGAGAGUCCCAGCAGCGUGAAGGAGUACCUCGAGGCCAAUUACCUCAACCCCGAGCUCUACGUCCCCACCGCGGCCAAUGACGGCAGGGUGUGGGAUGUGGACUGGUUCGACCUCGCCAGGCCGCCUCUGGAGCCCUCUGCCCCGCGCACCAUGCUCGUCCCCGCCUGGGAGCCGCCUUUUCGCCGACGAUCGUCGUCGACGUCUGAGCAGCAAGUUUGGGACCCUGAGACUGUGCAGAUGGAGAUGAGCCAAGUGUUCGACUCGGGGACUGGGGGGAUGGUGCCACGGAUGCCAGGCCCGGCGAAGGACUUUGUGAGAGGGAGAGUCAACAGCCGGCCAUUCCGCCCGGGAGGCCUGCAGGAUGAUGCAGCUGAGGCGGCAGCAUUGGAGAAGGCAUUUCCAGAGGGUGCGCGGAAUGGUGAUUGGGUGCGUGAGCUUAUGAGUGGUGGCCCUGCUCUAAAUGCUCCGCCAGGGUUCCCCAAGGGAUUGGACUUGGGCCAGUUGAAGGAGUAUAACAGUCACUGGAAGUGUUUCCGGGAAGGGGAGCAUGUCGAGGAGCAACCUGCAUCUUCAUCAAAUGACUCAACGGAUAAGUACUCGGUGCAGUUUGAUGAUUUGUUCAAGAUAGCUUGGGAGGAAGAUGAUGUCAACAUUGUGCCACAUGAAGAUGAUGGUGAGCAAUUGGCUGGAGAUGAGGGAACCAACGAUGUCAAUGAACGAAAGGUUGAUAAGUUGCAAGAUGCUUCUGAAACUCUUACAAUGGCAGAAACUGACAAACAGGAAGCUAAUGUCAGAGGAGAUGUUUCUGAAGCUCAAACGGACUUGGAUAAAAUGUUAUCAUCUGAAGUGAAAGAUGCCCGCGGAGAAACAAGUGGAUUAGUUGAUGAUAAGCCAGCACAGGAGGGCACGGACUGGGCACUCGUUGUUGGGGAUAAUUCUAUUGUGACAAACUUCCACAAACUUGUUCCAGAUAUGGCAAUUGAAUAUCCCUUUGAAUUGGAUAAGUUCCAGAAGGAGGCUAUAUAUUAUCUUGAGAAGGGGGAAUCAGUCUUUGUGGCAGCCCAUACAUCAGCAGGGAAGACGGUUGUUGCAGAGUAUGCCUUUGCUUUAGCAUCAAAACAUUGCACCAGGGCUGUCUAUACUGCUCCCAUUAAGACUAUCAGCAACCAGAAAUACCGAGAUUUCUGCGGGAAGUUUGAUGUGGGACUUCUUACUGGAGAUGUUAGCAUCAGACCAGAGGCAACUUGCUUAAUUAUGACAACAGAAAUAUUGCGCUCAAUGCUCUACAGAGGUGCUGAUAUUAUACGGGAUAUUGAAUGGGUAAUUUUUGAUGAAGUGCAUUAUGUGAAUGAUGCCGAGAGAGGCGUAGUUUGGGAGGAAGUUAUUAUAAUGCUCCCGAAGCACAUUAACAUUGUCCUCCUUUCAGCAACGGUUCCGAAUACAGUUGAAUUUGCUGACUGGAUUGGCCGAACAAAACAGAAGAAAAUUCGUGUCACAUCGACCAACAAAAGGCCCGUUCCCCUCGAGCAUUGCCUGUUCUACUCUGGAGAGGUAUACAAAGUAUGUGAGAAGGAUAUAUUUCUUGCUCAAGGAUUUAGAGACGCCAAGGACGCUUUCAAAAUGAAAAAUGCAAACAAGUUUGGAGCGAAACCUGGAACAAAAUCAGGAACUCCUGCAGUACGUGCUGGAACUCAAGGCAGAAAUCCAGACACGUCUAGUAAAGGGAGAGAUCAGAAGCACCCAAAGCACCACCAAACCAAUUCAGGAGCAGCAGCAAUUCAGCAAAGCACCUCAGGGUCAAGGAGAUCUGAGUCUUCAUUCUGGAUGCCGCUUAUAAAUAACCUUUUGAAGAAAUCACUUGUGCCUGUGGUAAUUUUUUGCUUCUCAAAGAACAGGUGUGAUAGGUCAGCAGAUAGCAUGUUUGGUGCUGAUCUCACCAGUAGUUCUGAUAAAAGCGAAAUCCGUGUCUUCUGUGAUAAGGCCUUUUCGCGCCUCAAAGGAUCCGACAGGAACCUUCCUCAGGUCGUAGGAAUACAAAGCCUUCUGCGAAGAGGAAUUGGAGUUCACCAUGCUGGGCUUCUUCCUAUUGUGAAAGAAGUAGUUGAGAUGCUGUUUUGUCGCGGUGUGAUCAAGGUACUGUUUUCCACUGAGACAUUUGCAAUGGGUGUUAAUGCUCCUGCAAGAACGGUUGUGUUUGAUACUUUAAGGAAGUUUGAUGGGAAGGAACAUCGAAGGUUACUUCCAGGGGAGUAUAUUCAAAUGGCUGGACGAGCUGGUAGGAGAGGACUAGAUACCAUAGGUACAGUGAUAAUGAUGUGCCGCGAUGAAAUUCCUGAAGAAAGUGAUUUGAAAAAUCUUCUUGUUGGAAAACCAACUCGACUGGAAUCUCAGUUUCGACUAACAUACACUAUGAUACUACAUCUUCUACGUGUGGAGGAACUUAAGGUGGAGGACAUGCUUAAGAGAAGUUUCGCAGAAUUCCAUGCACAAAAGGAUUUGCCUCAGAAGGAAAAGCUGCUUCUGCAAAUGCUACGUCAACCUACAAAGACAAUCGAGUGCAUAAAAGGAGAGCCUUCUAUUGAAGAAUAUUACGAUAUGUUUCUAGAAGCCGAAGAACACAGGGAAUUUGUCACAGAAGCAAUUAUGCAGUUGCACACUACUCAGCAGUUCCUUGCGCCUGGAAGAUUGGUGGUUGUUAAAGCCAAAUCUGAUGAUGAUCACUUGCUUGGUGUAAUCGUGAAAAAUCCAUCCGCUACACUAAAGCAGUAUGUUGUUCUUGUACUGACCGGUGAUUGCACUUCAUCUGCACUAGCCCCUAAUUUAUCCAGUCAAAAUGAGAAGGGACCAGGGGAUUCUCAAGGAUAUUUUAUUAUCCCGCCGAAAGGAAAACGUGGCAUGGAUGAUGAUUUUUUCUCUUCCUCUAGAACACGAAAAAGUUCAGGUGUUAUCAAUAUAAAGCUACCAUACACGGGGGACGCAUCUGGAAUGGGUUUUGAAGUAAGAGCUGUGGAGAAUAAAGAGAUUAUUAGUAUAUGUACAAGCAAAAUAAAGAUUGAUCAAGUCGGACUCCUUGAAGACAUUAGCAAAACAGCUUACGCUAAAACAGUUCAAAUGCUUAUUAAAGAGCAGACAGAUGGAAAGUACCCUCCUGCGCUAGAUGCAAUAAAAGACCUAAAAAUGAAAGACAUGGAUCAAGUUAAAAGAUAUCAUGCACAUAACAACCUACUGGAACAAAUGUCUAAAAACAAGUGCCAUGGUUGUAUAAAAUUGAAGGAACAUAAGUCAAUGAUGAAGGAUCAAAAGGUGCACAAGGAUGAGCUGGAUCAACUGAAAUACCAAAUGUCUGAUGAGGCACUUCAGCAGAUGCCACAGUUUCAAGGCAGAAUCGAUGUACUAAAGGAGAUCCAUUACAUCGAUUCCGAUCUUGUUGUGCAACUUAAGGGCCGAGUGGCAUGUGAAAUGAACUCUGGUGAAGAGUUAAUAUCAACAGAGUGUUUAUUUGAGAAUCAGUUGGAUGAAUUAGAACCUGAAGAAGCUGUGGCUAUUAUGUCUGCAUUUGUUUUCCAACAACGGAACGCGUCAGAACCAUCUCUCACUCCGAAACUGGCUGAUGCCAAAAAGAGGCUCUAUGACACGGCAAUCAACUUAGGACAGCUCCAAAAGAGGCACGAGGUGCCUGUGGAUCCUGAAGAGUAUGCACGUGAUAAUCUCAAGUUUGGUCUUGUUGAGGUUGUCUACGAAUGGGCAAAGGGAACGCCUUUCGCGGACAUAUGUGAGCUGACAGAUGUAUCUGAAGGGCUGAUUGUAAGAACAAUUGUGCGGUUGGAUGAAACAUGUAGGGAGUUCAGGAAUGCGGCUUCCAUAAUGGGUAACUCUGCUUUGUACAAGAAAAUGGAGAUCGCGUCCAACGCAAUCAAGCGUGACAUUGUCUUUGCAGCAAGUUUGUAUGUCACAGGAAUAUGA